This 497-nucleotide ribosomal RNA is filed under the name uncultured bacterium. Its description in RNAcentral is "partial 16S ribosomal RNA". It matches the Rfam family "Bacterial small subunit ribosomal RNA", at positions 28 to 507 of the family's 1533-position model. The record is from RNAcentral.
GAUGAACGCUGGCGGCGUGCCUAAUACAUGCAAGUCGAGCGAACAGACGAGGAGCUUGCUCCUCUGACGUUAGCGGCGGACGGGUGAGUAACACGUGGAUAACCUACCUAUAAGACUGGGAUAACUUCGGGAAACCGGAGCUAAUACCGGAUAAUAUAUUGAACCACAUGGUUCAAUAGUGAAAGACGGUUUUGCUGUCACUUAUAGAUGGAUCCGCGCCGCAUUAGCUAGUUGGUAAGGUAACGGCUUACCAAGGCAACGAUGCGUAGCCGACCUGAGAGAGUGAUCGGCCACACUGGAACUGAGACACGGUCCAGACUCCUACGGGAGGCAGCAGUAGGGAAUCUUCCGCAAAGGGCGAAAGCUUGACGGAGCAACGCCGCGUGAGUGAUGAAGGUCUUCGGAUCGUAAAACUCUGUUAUUAGGGAAGAACAAAUGUGUAAGUAACUAUGCACGUCUUGACGGUACCUAAUCAGAAAGCCACGGCUAACUACGUG